RNAcentral lists this ribosomal RNA (74 nucleotides) under Bacillus aquiflavi. Its description in RNAcentral is "partial 16S ribosomal RNA". It matches the Rfam family "Bacterial small subunit ribosomal RNA", at positions 1 to 73 of the family's 1533-position model. Lineage: Bacteria; Bacillati; Bacillota; Bacilli; Caryophanales; Bacillaceae. The record is from RNAcentral.
UUUAUUGGAGAGUUUGAUCCUGGCUCAGGACGAACGCUGGCGGCGUGCCUAAUACAUGCAAGUCGAGCGAACUG